RNAcentral lists this ribosomal RNA (432 nucleotides) under uncultured bacterium. RNAcentral's name for it is "partial 16S ribosomal RNA". It matches the Rfam family "Bacterial small subunit ribosomal RNA", at positions 29 to 506 of the family's 1533-position model. The record is from RNAcentral.
AACGAACGCUGGCGGCAUGCCUAACACAUGCAAGUCGAACGAGACCUUCGGGUCUAGUGGCGCACGGGUGCGUAACGCGUGGGAACCUGCCCUUAGGUUCGGAAUAACUCCCCGAAAGGGGUGCUAAUACCGGAUAAUGUCUUCGGACCAAAGAUUUAUCGCCUUUGGAUGGGCCCGCGUUGGAUUAGCUAGUUGGUAGGGUAAAAGCCUACCAAGGCGACGAUCCAUAGCUGGUCUGAGAGGAUGAUCAGCCACACUGGGACUGAGACACGGCCCAGACUCCUGCGGGAGGCAGCAGUGGGGAAUAUUGGACAGUGGGCGAAAGCCUGAUCCAGCAAUGCCGCGUGAGUGAUGAAGGCCUUAGGGUUGUAAAGCUCUUUUACCCGGGAUGAUAAUGACAGUACCGGGAGAAUAAGCUCCGGCUAACUCCGU